This 1867-nucleotide long non-coding RNA is filed under the name Macaca fascicularis (crab-eating macaque). RNAcentral describes it as "lncRNA (ENSMFAG00000062747.1)". Lineage: Eukaryota; Metazoa; Chordata; Mammalia; Primates; Cercopithecidae. The record is from RNAcentral.
UUUUUUUUUUUUUUUUGCAUGAGCAAAUUACAUCUGGCCUCUUUCCCUCUUUCCUGCCUGGGGAAUAGGCAGUGAUCAUCUGGGAUGGAGACUUGGCUUGUUCUCAGCACAGUCAAGCAGUGUAGUUUUGUGGUGAGCCCACUGGCCUGGGAAUUCUAAUAACCCUGGCUUCAUGGGUAAUUUGGGGUAAGUUAUUCAUUCUGUUCUUCAUUUGGCUCCUCUGCAAAAUGGGGCAAAUAAUAAUACGGCAUGAUUUUGAAGCCAUAACAAGAUGAUGGAAAUGAAAGUGGUCACCUUCAUCUAAACAUGAACUUGGGUACUGCAAAAGUGCAGAAUGAAAUGUUAUCAUUCUUCAGGGGAGUCACAUUUCAUGAAGACCUCUGUGUUUUAAUCACUAACUUAAAAAUAAAAGUAAAAGAAGGAAAGAAAAAAAAUUAAUGACAGCAGCCUGAGAUGCAUGGGCUACAUUCUCUGCUGCUUAAAAAACAACAACAAAAAAAAGCAUGACACUGUUUUGAAAAGUUAAUCACAGAGGGCUUUGAAGGGUUUCAUCUAGCACCAGUUGCAGGUAAUAUUGGAAAAAUACUGCAGUCAUAGCAUCUCCGUGCAUUAUUGGGGUUUUAAAUCCUAAAUCACUACAUACAAUGCAUAUUCUGGUUUAGGCUACCCAACUGGAUAUGCUGGCCUGGUUUCCUUACUCUAGUGCUCUCUGCUAAUAACUAAACAUGUAAAAAAAGAAAGAAAAAAAGAAGAAAAAAAAAGCAGGGCUUUUUUCAAAGUUGCAAGUCAAUGUGCUGUAAACAUGGGUCUGAGGUUAGGAUAUUGAAUUGCAUGAAUAACAACAAUCUGUCUUACUCCAUUAAUCAGAGGUUUACAGUCUCUACAGUCUUAUGAGCCAUGGGGCCGUCACUGAUAAUUCUCUGUCAAAGAGAAAUGGAAUCAUCUAGACAUGUGCUUAAAGAGGAAUUUUUCCCCUUGUUGAUUUUAUGUAGGAAACGGCUAUUAGACAAUGUUGGCUCCCAUGGAGGUUCGGAGACUGUGGGAAGAGGCCUCAUGGUGGGGAUAGUGGAGAUGCAAAAGACACGUGGAGACUUUUGGCAGACAGGGCUCUGCAAAAAGAGGUCCAGCAAUUUGUUGGGCAAGGUCUCUGCGUGGUCUCCUCUGGGACCUAUUCCAGAGCAGUGAAACUAAUAAUCCUUAAAUUCACUCCCUCUCCCCCAGGCACCAUUACACCGUAUUUGAAUUAUGUUAUCAAAGAGACAGACGUGGAUUCAGUUCUGAUCCCCCAAACUCUUAAGGAAAUGUGCCCCUUCCUUAAUGGGAAAGUGUAUUUGAUGACCUAAAAGUUGACGUGCCUUAAAUCUGGCUGCCCUGCUCCCCAGUCCUGGGCUGCACCCUCAUUCUGUGGAGUUCUGAGAAAUGCUGAAGAUGAGGCAGGUGGCAAAUGUGGCUCCCUGAGAGCUAAACCUGAUACCCGACCAGGAGCUUGGGUCAGUGUUUGUCAGCAAAAUUAGCCUUUUCUUGCAGUGUUAUAUAAAUUUUCCAUAGAAAUCUGGCAUGUGUCAAGAAAGAUGCCUGUUUUCCUGAGUUAGGUGUAAUCACCACGUGCCCCACUUAAAUUUACGUGCAAGGGUGCAGGCACCAGAGAAAACUACCAGCUAUCGCCAAGCCAAGAGCCAUCAAUUCAGGAUGAAAAGUGUGAAGAGUUGGGAUGGAGUUGCCUUCCCACUUGGGGAAGGCAAACAUUAACACCUCUGAUUUGGAUCCUUAAGAUGACAGAACCACCAGUAAAACCCAUUUCCAGUAUCUAGAACAGGUGUGGUUUCGUCCCUGGAGGACAGCCUUGGCUGAUGCUGACAGAAGGGGC